CCUACGGGAGGCAGCAGUGGGGAAUAUUUGGCCAUGGGCGCAAGCCUGACCCAGCCACGCCGCGUGAAGGAAGAAGGCUUUCGGGUUGUAAACUUCUUUUGUCAGGGAAGAGUAGAAGACGGUCCCUGACGAAUAAUCCACGGCUAACUACGUGCCAGCAGCCGCGGUAAUACGUAGGUGGCAAGCGUUGUCCGGAUUUACUGGGUGUAAAGGGCGUGUAGUCGGGUUGACAAGGCAGAGGUGAAAUCCUGCGGCAUAACCGCAGAACUGCAUUUGAAACUGUUGAUCUUGAGUAUUGGAGAGGCAGAUGGAAUUCCUAGUGUAGCGGUGAAAUGCGUAGAUAUGAGGAGGAACACCAGUGGCGAAGGCGGUCUGCGGGACAGCAACUGACGGUGAGGCGCGAAAGCGUGGGGAGCAAACAGGAUUAGAUACCCCGGUAGUC
Molecule: ribosomal RNA, 442 nt
Filed under: uncultured bacterium
Lineage: Bacteria
Description: partial 16S ribosomal RNA
Rfam family: Bacterial small subunit ribosomal RNA
Source: RNAcentral